This 103-nucleotide non-coding RNA is filed under the name Paenibacillus sp. Its description in RNAcentral is "Guanine sequence". It matches the Rfam family "Purine riboswitch aptamer". From Rfam's summary of the family: Riboswitches are metabolite binding domains within certain messenger RNAs that serve as precision sensors for their corresponding targets. Allosteric rearrangement of mRNA structure is mediated by ligand binding, and this results in modulation of gene expression. The record is from RNAcentral. Lineage: Bacteria; Bacillati; Bacillota; Bacilli; Caryophanales; Paenibacillaceae. RNAcentral also lists the same sequence under 1 other name.
AAAUUAUAAAAGCGUUAUUCUUGUAUAAGCCCAUUAAUAAGGGAUGGGCGUUUCUACAGGCAACCGUGAAUUGCCCCAGGCUACAAGAGACUGAAAGCGACGC